RNAcentral lists this ribosomal RNA (484 nucleotides) under uncultured bacterium. RNAcentral describes it as "partial 16S ribosomal RNA". It matches the Rfam family "Bacterial small subunit ribosomal RNA", at positions 29 to 507 of the family's 1533-position model. The record is from RNAcentral.
AUUGAACGCUGGCGGCAUGCUUUACACAUGCAAGUCGAACGGCAGCGCGGGCUUCGGCCUGGCGGCGAGUGGCGAACGGGCGAGUAAUUCACCGGAACGUGCCCAGUAGUUGGGGAUAGCCCGGCGAAAGCCGGAUUAAUACCGCAUACGACCCGAGGGUGAAAGCGGGGGACCGAAAGGCCUCGCGCGAUUGGAGCGGCCGAUGUCGGAUUAGCUAGUUGGUGGGGUAAAGGCUUACCAAGGCGACGAUCCGUAGCUGGUCUGAGAGGACGACCAGCCACACUGGAACUGAGACACGGCCCAGACUCCUACGGGAGGCAGCAGUGGGGAAUUUUGGACAAUGGGGGCAACCCUGAUCCAGCCAUGCCGCGUGAGGGAAGAAGGCCUUCGGGUUGUAAAACGCUUUUGUUCGGGAAGAAAUCCUCUGGGCUAAUACCCCGGGGGGAUGACGGUACCGGAAGAAUAAGCACCGGCUAACUACGUG